UGCAGAUUGUAACAAAUCCACUGGAAAGUCAACUAAAGCACUAAUAAAAAGAGGAAAUCUACAUUUACCAUACUAGAGUUACACGGCCAAAUAGAGAACGUAUAAAUGGACAUCUGAGCUGUAAUUCUUAAAAAGUUUCGAUUUUUCUAUGCAGACGUCAAAACCCAGAAGAUAUCACAGAGCGUGGUCAGAUAUAACUUCUGGAGGACACAGUUAUGCAUACCGUUUGAUACCAAGACCUAAUAGGGCUAGAUGACUGUGAGGGAUUCUAAUUUCUACAGCCUUAAUGGAGCAAUAAAGACACUGAUGCA
Molecule: long non-coding RNA, 311 nt
Filed under: Linum usitatissimum (flax)
Lineage: Eukaryota; Viridiplantae; Streptophyta; Magnoliopsida; Malpighiales; Linaceae
Description: long non-coding RNA (LUSI_LNC002164)
Source: RNAcentral